RNAcentral lists this ribosomal RNA (468 nucleotides) under uncultured bacterium. RNAcentral describes it as "partial 16S ribosomal RNA". It matches the Rfam family "Bacterial small subunit ribosomal RNA", at positions 28 to 507 of the family's 1533-position model. The record is from RNAcentral.
GACGAACGCUGGCGGCGUGCUUAACACAUGCAAGUCGAACGGAAAGGCCCUGCUUUUGUGGGGUGCUCGAGUGGCGAACGGGUGAGUAACACGUGAGUAACCUGCCCUUGACUUUGGGAUAACUUCAGGAAACUGGGGCUAAUACCGGAUAGGAGCUCCUGCUGCAUGGUGGGGGUUGGAAAGUUUCGGCGGUUGGGGAUGGACUCGCGGCUUAUCAGCUUGUUGGUGGGGUAGUGGCUUACCAAGGCUUUGACGGGUAGCCGGCCUGAGAGGGUGACCGGCCACAUUGGGACUGAGAUACGGGCCAGAGUCCUACGGGAGGCAGCGGUGGGGAAUAUUGCACAAUGGGCGGAAGCCUGAUGCAGCAACGCCGCGUGCGGGAUGACGGCCUUCGGGUUGUAAACCGCUUUCGCCUGUGACGAAGCGUGAGUGACGGUAAUGGGUAAAGAAGCACCGGCUAACUACGUG